Molecule: ribosomal RNA, 742 nt
Filed under: Lactobacillus casei group sp.
Lineage: Bacteria; Bacillati; Bacillota; Bacilli; Lactobacillales; Lactobacillaceae
Description: bacterial SSU rRNA
Rfam family: Bacterial small subunit ribosomal RNA
Source: RNAcentral
AUACAUGCAAGUCGAACGAGUUCUCGUUGAUGAUCGGUGCUUGCACCGAGAUUCAACAUGGAACGAGUGGCGGACGGGUGAGUAACACGUGGGUAACCUGCCCUUAAGUGGGGGAUAACAUUUGGAAACAGAUGCUAAUACCGCAUAGAUCCAAGAACCGCAUGGUUCUUGGCUGAAAGAUGGCGUAAGCUAUCGCUUUUGGAUGGACCCGCGGCGUAUUAGCUAGUUGGUGAGGUAAYGGCUCACCAAGGCGAUGAUACGUAGCCGAACUGAGAGGUUGAUCGGCCACAUUGGGACUGAGACACGGCCCAAACUCCUACGGGAGGCAGCAGUAGGGAAUCUUCCACAAUGGACGCAAGUCUGAUGGAGCAACGCCGCGUGAGUGAAGAAGGCUUUCGGGUCGUAAAACUCUGUUGUUGGAGAAGAAUGGUCGGCAGAGUAACUGUUGUCGGCGUGACGGUAUCCAACCAGAAAGCCACGGCUAACUACGUGCCAGCAGCCGCGGUAAUACGUAGGUGGCAAGCGUUAUCCGGAUUUAUUGGGCGUAAAGCGAGCGCAGGCGGUUUUUUAAGUCUGAUGUGAAAGCCCUCGGCUUAACCGAGGAAGCGCAUCGGAAACUGGGAAACUUGAGUGCAGAAGAGGACAGUGGAACUCCAUGUGUAGCGGUGAAAUGCGUAGAUAUAUGGAAGAACACCAGUGGCGAAGGCGGCUGUCUGGUCUGUAACUGACGCUGAGGCUCGAA